Molecule: ribosomal RNA, 744 nt
Filed under: uncultured Glomus
Lineage: Eukaryota; Fungi; Glomeromycota; Glomeromycetes; Glomerales; Glomeraceae
Description: partial 28S ribosomal RNA
Source: RNAcentral
UACGUCAACAUCCUUAACGAAUUUAACCCAUUCUAACCUAUUGACCAUCGACUUUGAUAACCGUAAGCACGCUUUCGGCACCAGAGCAACGAUCAGAGAUCAGACAGGUAGCCCCGAAGGGUAUCCGUUGCAAUCCUCAAUCCCGAUCAUCACAUCUGCCGAAGGCUAUAACACUUCAAUCGAAAUCGAAGCUACAUUCCUCCAGCCAUUUUAUGAUAAUCAAAAUUGAUGUUAACUAACCACACAGGCAAGUACACCCAAAGUACACGAAUAUGCAGGCAUGAAGGCGUUUAACUCCUCACACUCCCAGAAUCAUGCCCAAAAGGCUGAUUACCCGCAGGUACGACUGGCUUCAAUCGUUUCCCUUUCAACAAUUUCACGUACUGUUUAACUCUCUUUUCAAAGUUCUUUUCAUCUUUCCCUCACGGUACUUGUUCGCUAUCGGUCUCUCGCCGUUAUUUAGCCUUAGGAGAAAUUUACCUCCCAUUUUAAGCUGCAAUCCCAAACAACUUGACUCUUUGAAAGCGUAUCGUAAAGCGAAUCUGAUCAACCGAACGGGAUUCUCACCCUCCGUGAUGCCUUAUCCCAAAGGACUUGGACUGAUCAGAAACACAGAAAACGCCUCUUCAAAUUACAACUCGGUCAGGUAGAACCCGACAGAUUUAAAAUUUGAGCUUGUCCCUCUUCACUCGCAGUUACUAGGGGAAUCAUUGUUAUUUUCUUUUCCUCCGCUUAUUGAUAUCG